AAGUCGUAACAAGGUUUCCGUAGGUGAACCUGCGGAAGGAUCAUUCACAAUAAGUGUUUUUAUGGCACUUUAAAAAUCCAUAUCCACCUUGUGUGCAACGUUUUGAGCUCUUUUUGUCAUUUCGCCGGUCGCAGAACGUUUGUUCUACAGCCGCGGAAGGUACGAUAAGGAGGGCUUUUUAUACCUUAACUCUUGAUCUUUAACAACUUUGUCUGAAAAGCUAUUGCGAAUUAACUUAAUUCAAAAUAAAUACAACUUUCAACAACGGAUCUCUUGGCUCUC
This 282-nucleotide unclassified non-coding RNA is filed under the name Mortierella angusta. RNAcentral's name for it is "partial internal transcribed spacer region". The stretch from base 1 to 46 matches the Rfam family "Eukaryotic small subunit ribosomal RNA", at positions 1786 to 1831 of the family's 1831-position model. RNAcentral also lists the same sequence under 3 other names. Lineage: Eukaryota; Fungi; Mortierellomycota; Mortierellomycetes; Mortierellales; Mortierellaceae. The record is from RNAcentral.